CGGUAACAGCUCAAAUUUGAAAUCUGGCCUCACGGUCCGAGUUGUAAUUUGUAGAGGAUGCUUCGAGCAUGGUCUGGCCUAAGUUCCUUGGAACAGGACGUCAUAGAGGGUGAGAAUCCCGU
This 122-nucleotide ribosomal RNA is filed under the name Pseudogymnoascus sp. RNAcentral's name for it is "partial large subunit ribosomal RNA". It matches the Rfam family "Eukaryotic large subunit ribosomal RNA", at positions 99 to 224 of the family's 3401-position model. Lineage: Eukaryota; Fungi; Ascomycota; Leotiomycetes; Thelebolales; Thelebolaceae. The record is from RNAcentral.